Molecule: ribosomal RNA, 497 nt
Filed under: uncultured bacterium
Lineage: Bacteria
Description: partial 16S ribosomal RNA
Rfam family: Bacterial small subunit ribosomal RNA
Source: RNAcentral
GAUGAACGCUGGCGGCGUGCCUAAUACAUGCCAGUCGAGCGAACAGACGAGGAGCUUGCUCCUCUGACGUUAGCGGCGGACGGGUGAGUAACACGUGGAUAACCUACCUAUAAGACUGGGAUAACUUCGGGAAACCGGAGCUAAUACCGGAUAAUAUAUUGAACCGCAUGGUUCAAUAGUGAAAGACGGUUUUGCUGUCACUUAUAGAUGGAUCCGCGCCGCAUUAGCUAGUUGGUAAGGUAACGGCUUACCAAGGCAACGAUGCGUAGCCGACCUGAGAGGGUGAUCGGCCACACUGGAACUGAGACACGGUCCAGACUCCUACGGGAGGAAGCAGUAGGGAAUCUUCCGCAAUGGGCGAAAGCCUGACGGAGCAACGCCGCGUGAGUGAUGAAGGUCUUCGGAUCGUAAAACUCUGUUAUUAGGGAAGAACAAAUGUGUAAGUAACUAUGCACGUCUUGACGGUACCUAAUCAGAAAGCCACGGCUGACUACGUG